AGUGAACGCUGGCGGUAGGCCUAACACAUGCAAGUCGAACGGCAGCACAGUAAGAGCUUGCUCUUACGGGUGGCGAGUGGCGGACGAGUGAGGAAUACAUCGGAAUCUACUUUUUCGUGGGGGAUAACGUAGGGAAACUUACGCUAAUACCGCAUACGACCUACGGGUGAAAGCAGGGGAUCUUCGGACCUUGCGCGAUUGAAUGAGCCGAUGUCGGAUUAGCUAGUUGGCGGGGUAAAGGCCCACCAAGGCGACUAUCCGUAGCUGGUCUGAGAGGAUGAUCAGCCACACUGGAACUGAGACACGGUCCAGACUCCUACGGGAGGCAGCAGUGGGGAAUAUUGGACAAUGGGCGCAAGCCUGAUCCAGCCAUACCGCGUGGGUGAAGAAGGCCUUCGGGUUGUAAAGCCCUUUUGUUGGGAAAGAAAAGCAGCAGGUUAAUACCCCGCUGUUCUGACGGUACCCAAAGAAUAAGCACCGGCUAACUUCGUG
Molecule: ribosomal RNA, 492 nt
Filed under: uncultured bacterium
Lineage: Bacteria
Description: partial 16S ribosomal RNA
Rfam family: Bacterial small subunit ribosomal RNA
Source: RNAcentral